This 480-nucleotide long non-coding RNA is filed under the name Penaeus monodon (black tiger shrimp). RNAcentral's name for it is "uncharacterized LOC119588524". Lineage: Eukaryota; Metazoa; Arthropoda; Malacostraca; Decapoda; Penaeidae. The record is from RNAcentral.
AGCUGCAGCCGACCUUUGCAUCAGCUCAAAGUCUACUCAACAUGCACAUCCUAUAUUUUUAGGCCAUUUCCGUCUGCAAAAUGAAGCUCUUGGCUAUUGCUGUCAUCUUGUGCCUCGCUGUGCUGUACACUCAGGCUUUACCAGCCGAAAUGCCAUCUUCACCACUGCUGCUCAGUCGUGUCGCCAGGUCACCUCACUUCCCUCAAGACUGUAUCCCGUGUACUUGUAAAACCACCAUCACACACAUUACCAUUAUCGAACAUGAAGUAAGGCCAACAGCCGCAAGGUUCGGUAACAGCCCCCAGUGCUGCCCAUGCCCUCCACCUUUCUGAUGCCCUUGUUUCUCAUGGACCGAUCACGCCAAUCUUCUGAAUAUCUUCUACACGGAAAAUUUGAAAAAAUCAGAAAAAAAUACUGAACAAACCAAAUGUUAUAUUAUUAUUGAAUGUAAUCAUAUGCAAAUAAAAUUGGUGUAUCUAA